GACGAACGCUGGCGGCGUGCUUAACACAUGCAAGUCGAACGGAAAGGCCCUGCUUUUGUGGGGUGCUCGAGUGGCGAACGGGUGAGUAACCCGUGAGUAACCUGCCCUUGACUUUGGGAUAACUUCAGGAAACUGGGGCUAAUACCGGAUAGGAGCUCCUGCUGCAUGGUGGGGGUUGGAAAGUUUCGGCGGUUGGGGAUGGACUCGCGGCUUAUCAGCUUGUUGGUGGGGUAGUGGCUUACCAAGGCUUUGACGGGUAGCCGGCCUGAGAGGGUGACCGGCCACAUUGGGACUGAGAUACGGCCCAGACUCCUACGGGAGGCAGCAGUGGGGAAGAUUGCACAAUGGGCGGAAGCCUGAUGCAGCAACGCCGCGUGCGGGAUGACGGCCUUCGGGUUGUAAACCGCUUUCGCCUGUGACGAAGCGUGAGUGACGGUAAUGGGUAAAGAAGCACCGGCUAACUACGUG
This 468-nucleotide ribosomal RNA is filed under the name uncultured bacterium. RNAcentral describes it as "partial 16S ribosomal RNA". It matches the Rfam family "Bacterial small subunit ribosomal RNA", at positions 28 to 507 of the family's 1533-position model. The record is from RNAcentral.